UCCCUCUUAGCUCAGUUGGUAGAGCGCGUCACUAGUACAGAGCCUGCACAUGACGCGGUCAGCCGUUCGAAUCGGCUAGCGGGAA
Non-coding RNA from Mycena crocata, 85 nucleotides. Lineage: Eukaryota; Fungi; Basidiomycota; Agaricomycetes; Agaricales; Mycenaceae. The record is from the annotation of a GenBank genome assembly.